CCUACGGGAGGCUGCAGUGGGGAAUAUUGCACAAUGGGCGAAAGCCUGAUGCAGCAACGCCGCGUGAGUGAUGAAGGCCUUCGGGACGGAAAGCUCUGUCAACAAGGAAGAGAAAGACGGUAAGUGAGGAGGAAGCCGCGGCUAACGACGGGCCAGCAGCCGCGGUAAUACGUAGGGGGCUUGCUUUCUCCGGACUUACUGGGCGUACCGGGUGCGUAGGUGGUUUCUUAAGUCAGAGGUGAAAGGCUACGGCUCACCCGUAGUAAGCCUUUGAAACUGGGGAACUUACGUGCAGGAGCGGCGAUUGGAAUUCCUAGUGUAGCGGUGAAAUGCGUAGAUAUUAGGAGGAACACCAGUUGCGAAGGCGGCUCUCUGGACUGUAACUGCCACUGAGGCAC
RNAcentral lists this ribosomal RNA (398 nucleotides) under uncultured bacterium. RNAcentral describes it as "partial 16S ribosomal RNA". It matches the Rfam family "Bacterial small subunit ribosomal RNA", at positions 338 to 754 of the family's 1533-position model. The record is from RNAcentral.